This 433-nucleotide ribosomal RNA is filed under the name uncultured bacterium. RNAcentral describes it as "partial 16S ribosomal RNA". It matches the Rfam family "Bacterial small subunit ribosomal RNA", at positions 29 to 507 of the family's 1533-position model. The record is from RNAcentral.
AACGAACGCUGGCGGCAUGCCUAACACAUGCAAGUCGAACGAGACCUUCGGGUCUAGUGGCGCACGGGUGCGUAACGCGUGGGAACCUGCCCUUAGGUUCGGAAUAACUCCCCGAAAGGGGUGCUAAUACCGGAUAAUGUCUUCGGACCAAUGAUUUAUCGCCUUUGGAUGGGCCCGCGUUGGAUUAGCUAGUUGGUAGGGUAAAAGCCUACCAAGGCGACGAUCCAUAGCUGGUCUGAGAGGAUGGUCAGCCACACUGGGACUGAGACACGGCCCAGACUCCUACGGAAGGCAGCAGUGGGGAAUAUUGGAAAAUGGGCGAAAGCCUGAUCCAGCAAUGCCGCGUGAGUGAUGAAGGCCUUAGGGUUGUAAAGCUCUUUUACCCGGGAUGAUAAUGACAGUACCGAGAGAAUAAGCUCCGGCUAACUCCGUG